RNAcentral lists this ribosomal RNA (460 nucleotides) under uncultured bacterium. RNAcentral describes it as "partial 16S ribosomal RNA". It matches the Rfam family "Bacterial small subunit ribosomal RNA", at positions 338 to 795 of the family's 1533-position model. The record is from RNAcentral.
CCUACGGGAGGCAGCAGUGAGGAAUAUUGGUCAAUGGGCGCGAGCCUGAACCAGCCAAGUAGCGUGAAGGAUGACUGCCCUACGGGUUGUAAACUUCUUUUAUAAAGGAAUAAAGUGAGGCACGUGUGCCUUAUUGUAUGUACUUUAUGAAUAAGGAUCGGCGAACUCCGUGCCAGCAGCCGCGGUAAUACGGAGGGUCCGAGCGUUAUCUGGAGUUAUUGGGUUUAAAGGGAGCGUAGAUGGGUUGUUAAGUCAGUUGUGAAAGUUUGCGGCUCAACCGUAAAAUUGCAAUUGAUACUGGCAGUCUUGAGUACAGUUGAGGUAGGCGGAAUUCGUGGUGUAGCGGUGAAAUGCUUAGAGAUCACGAAGAACUCCGAUUGCGAAGGCAGCUUACUAAACUGCCACUGACAUUGAUGCUCGAAAGUGUGGGUAUCAAACAGGAUUAGAUACCCCGGUAGUC